Molecule: long non-coding RNA, 1238 nt
Organism: Silurus meridionalis
Lineage: Eukaryota; Metazoa; Chordata; Actinopteri; Siluriformes; Siluridae
Exons: 4
Source: RefSeq, a predicted model, not a curated record
UUUUACGACUGUCUAGCUAUAUUGGAUUUUUUUGCGUUUUAUCUCCAACUUCAAGAAUUUCUCUUGAAAGGAAAAAUUCCUGAUAAUUCUGCACAUCGUCGGAAGGUGAGAUGCGCGUCUACAAAUGUAAUCAUCAAAGAUGACAGACUCUUCUACGUCGGCCCCAGUAGGCAGUACAUGCGGCUAGUUGUCCUGUCAGAGGAAGAGAAGAGAUCUGUUCUUUUCGGAGUUUCAUAUUAACAAUGGGACUGGAAAUCACAGUGGCACAGUGGAAAUCACAGUGUCCCACAAUGAGACUGGAACUCACUGAGUUAUUGCUGGUUACUAUUGGCCUACAAUUAUCCAGGAUGUGAAAGAAUGGGUAAAAGAAGCUUGGGAAGUGCUUGGGUUGGAUUUGAUUGGACCACUGCAAGAAACAGCAACAAGUAUGUCCUUAUGAUGACCAUGCAAUCUAAGACAGCAGCUGAGGUGCGGCAAUAAUGACCACAAAGUUGUACCUGUUCGACAUGGGUAGGAAAAUCAUGGGAGACCAAGGGAAGGAGGUUGUUUCCAAGGUGAAGUUUUGGAAGGGUUUAAUGAUGUUUUUUCCCUCUACUCUAGUCUCAACAUAUAUCUCUUGUUGUCUUAUGAUUAUUCAUCAACUUUAUAAAUACACUGAUAAUUACAGGAUGAAAGAAACAAUCAGAAUAUCAAGCGUACUCUCAGGAAGUUUGUGAAUGACCACCUUAACGACUGGGAUCUCCAACUUCCUGCUGUGGAAGCAGGUUUUGUCUUAACACAUUUAUUAUAUAUCUAGCAAGUUGUCAAUGGUAAAACUGAAUUGGUGAAUUUAUUUAAUAUUUAAUGUCAAGUGUGGAGUUUUUCCCUUUAACACAAAUUUAAUAGUUGAUGGGAAGCUUCCUAUGAAAUCAAUAUUCCACUAGACACAGUUCCUACUUCCUCCUCUUCCAUCGACACCCACAUCUGCCAGAGGUCUACAGAUUAAAAAAUGGACCAAACGAGAGGAUGUUUCUUCAGGACCACUGUUAAUCAACUUUCAAAUGGCAGAUCGAGCAUCCAAUAGAUGAAUGAGUAAGUGAGUGAAGGACUGAGGGAGGGACAGAUGACUGAGGUAAGAAGUGAAAGAACGAAGAAUGGAGGUAAUGAAUUAAUUAAUGAAUAAUUAAAUUAAAUGAAUAAAUAAAUUAAAUGAAUAAAUAAAUAUCUUGUUUGUUUCUUAAAUGAAGUCGUUUGUUAAA